RNAcentral lists this non-coding RNA (24 nucleotides) under Arabidopsis thaliana (thale cress). The record is from RNAcentral. Lineage: Eukaryota; Viridiplantae; Streptophyta; Magnoliopsida; Brassicales; Brassicaceae.
AGGCCGUUCACGAGGAUGAUUCCA